Non-coding RNA from Microcebus murinus (gray mouse lemur), 1109 nucleotides. The record is from RefSeq and is a predicted model, not a curated record. Lineage: Eukaryota; Metazoa; Chordata; Mammalia; Primates; Cheirogaleidae.
CACAACACAUGCUCCUUUCUGAUUUUGCUUGAGACAGGCUGGGCAUCCUCUCCACUUUUUGACGACCUAAAUAAAGAAACCAACAGAUAAACAGUGCAAGCGGUGUCUGCCAGCGUGGGAUAUGUCACGUAUUUUAAGGGAACACCAUGCUUCUCCAUUUCUUCUUAAAACUGAUCUGCCUUGAGUCUUGCUUUUCAGCCUUGGCUAACAGCGGGGCAAUCCUGACCUGUGUAUGCCCCUGCUUACCUUAUCUCGUGUUGAAUUUUUUAAAAGCCCUCCUGACAAGGAAGGAUUAAGCUUAUAGAUGCUACAGCCAGACUGCCUGCAGUAUGAUCCCCGACUCAACCACUUCGACCCACAGUUUCUCCACCACUUUCUUAACCUGCCUGAGUUUCCUCAUUGGUGAAAUGGAAAUACUACCAGUGAGCUACCACAAGGAGCUGCCGUGAGGAUUAAAUGGGCUAAUGUAUUUAAAGCUCUUAUAAUGGUGUGAGGCUGCCUCUUAGUCUGGUGACAAGAACAAGCAAAGGGACUCUGGAUUGGGGUUACUGGGAAAGGAUGUGGCUACACUAUUGAAGGCCGGGGAUUAAGGGUAUGUUUAUAAACUGUGUAUUGAGACGUCCUCAAUCUUCUUUCUCCAUUUGGCUCCCAGAAUGCUGUUAGCCGGGUGUAUGUUCUCUUAGCAAAAGUCUGGAAGUAUUUGCUGGGCAGUAAACCAAGAAAGAGAAAGACAUAGGAAUCAGGUGAAAACAUCUAAGACUAGACAGAGAUGAAUAGAAUCCCUAGGACGAUGAUGAAGGCAGCGUCAGUCUCCUAACUAGAGCUCAUGCUAGAGAGCAUCCAGUCCAGAUGGAAGCAAGUCAGAUCUCCUCCAGAAGAUUGUUAGAGUCCCUGAUGCAUUUGAAUAUAUUCAAAGGAGAUUUACACAAUUAAGAUAGAAUUUGAAUCAGUAAUAAAUACAGAGAAAAUUAAGUAAAAAACAAGAAAAUAAUAAAGACAGUGAUUCCGGGGAAAGUAGGAGGUAGUGUAGGUAAAAAAAAAAGUGGUCACUGUGAUCUACAGGCAUUAGCUGUGAAUAGCAUUUGCCUCUACAUAAUUAUGUAAACACU